UUUUUUUAUGUUGGCAGGGUUCACACACACACUAGCUGAAUUUGCAGAGCUAGCGGGCAAACACGAACUAUUAAGCUAGCUAGUACCUAUUCCAUUUAUGUGGCGUCGUCAAAGAUGAAGAUGGAAUCUUUGCUAUUGUCAGUUCAUUCCAAGAUCAGCAUGCAGCUGUAGUGCUUCAAAGUCCCUGUGAUAAGGUUAGCAAUAAAUUGAACAGAACUACGCUCUCUUCUACCAUUGUCUUAAAUAUCUUUAAUGGUCUCGUUGCAAAGGCUAAAUUGUCGCUAUGGGACUUUGAAGCACAUGUGUGACGAUCUUGGAGUAAACUGAUGACAGCAAAGAUUAUAGCAAACACCACAGAAACGGAAUUGGUGCUCGCUAGCUUUGCAAAUUCAGCUAUUGUUGGAAGCCAGCCAAUAUGAAACAAACUAUUAAAAUGACAAAAGGUUGCAGCAUAUGUUGUGUAAAUGGUGAACUCAUACAGCUGUCAACUCUUGUCACUGCAAUCCGUUUCACAUUUGCUAGCUACCGUUUAGAUCGAAGCCCAUAUAGAAUGAUAGAAGAUAAGAUGAUAGAAGCCCAUCUCCUACUGCAGAUCAGCCAACAGAGGGCACACAGACAGCAGAGCUGGGGAUAGGUGGGCAGGGACAGACUGGCAGAGAGGGAGUCUCAGGAGACAGACUGUGAGGCAGUGAGGGUGGUGAAAGGGAGAGACUUCAGAGGACAGUGGCACAGCCACGGCAGGACCAGGUGUCAACCUUGUUGCCAGCAGCACCAGUAUAGGGGACAGUGGCACAGCCACGGCAGGACCAGGUGUCAACCUUGUUGCCAGCAGCACCUGUAUAGGGGACAGUGGCACAGCCACGGCAGGACCAGGUGUCAACCUUGUUGCCAGCGGCACCAGUAUAGGGGACAGUGGCACAGCCACGGCAGGACCAGGUGUCAACCUUGUUGCCAGCUGCCCCGGUAUAGGGGACAGUGGCACAGCAUUGUCCAGUUACCUCAGUUCAGUGAUGGCACAAAACCAUAUCAGCCACAUCCACAAUUUAUAGAACCGCAAUCUCUUGCCAACAGAGUGUUGACAUUUCAAGAGAGAUGGUUUUGCGAUUUCCCCUGGCUACAUUAUAAUCCAUCAAUAAAAUAUGUGUUUUCACUGUAGCCAACCAAGGGUUUUCAAGCCAGCCAUCUUUUGGCCAAAGAGCAGAUGCUGCCUUCAUUAGCGCAGGAUUUAGGAACUGGAGAAAAGCCAUUGUAAAGUUCACAGCACAUCAUAACUGCCAAACCCACCGCCACUGUGUAACUGUAACUGUAACAGCACACCAGCUAAAUCCAAUCCGUGUCCAGUUAUCCAGCGCGUGGGGUAAACAGCAGAAAUGAUGAAAGCUACCUUGCACUGUAUGAGAAAGCUACAACAUUGAUUGAAUCCAUUGAGGCACACUCAAGACGAUUUGCUGGCAAAGCAGUGGAUCACUAUAGGGCAGAAUUUUUUUAAGUGUUGGAUGGUGUGGAGGUUCAGUUUGGCGACCGUGUUGACCAGGACAUUCUAAAAGCAUUCUGCAAAAGUUGGAAAGAGUGCUUUUCACGGGGGAGUUGGAUGAGUCUCUAGAUCAGUACUCUGAGCUGAACAUAGAUUCUCUUUCAGUGCAGUUGCCUCUCUUUCACAACAAAUACCCCUGUAGCAGCAGUUGAGAGGCAGCAGAGGUCCUCAGGAGGCUUCCAGUGGAGGUGCGGUUGUUGGUUGACCAAGUUGAGGUGCUGAUCAGAAUUUAGUCUAAUGCACAUAAAGACAGGCUGGACAGUCUUGAGGGAAAAUAUCUGCCAGCAAUUUGUUGGAUCCAUUGAAACCCUCAAACAUAGGUUUGGUUCUUUUGUUCAAUAGUGUGUAUAACAGUGGUUCUCAACCUUUUUUGAGUACUGGAACCCCUGCAUAUUUUGAGGAAAGGCAGGCAAGGUUUUGAGUGGUCCUCAGGGACCUCCACCCCCUAUAUAUUAAAUGUAACGUUAGUGGAAUCCUUGUGCUGCUGAAUACAUUCAUUAAACUUUUUUAUUUAAUGGAACCCUUGCCAUUACACCAGGGACCCCUAGGGGUCCACCUACCCUGUUUGAGAACCCCUGGUGUAUAGUAUAAUAUUUGUUAUUUUGUUUAGUAGUUUUUAGUACAUGACAGGACACUUACUAAUUAUUUAUUUGAUUUACAAUUGCAUACUUUGUGUGACAUACUUGUCCAUAGCUGUUGUUUGAAGAGCUGAGACACUGACUGAACAAUAACUAAGUAUUUCUGAAGGAUAUUUUGGUUGAUUUGUUUGGGUUUUUCAUUGAAGUAGUUAUUUUGCUUUUAGAACUGUACUUAUUCUGUGUGUUUUGUUCUUUUAAAGAUGUUGUAAUAGACUCAAACCAGUGGCACAUAUUUAAUGACUAUAUAAAUGAAUCAGAAAAAGUUAAAUAAAAAGGUCAGUUCAGUGCAGAGACCAACUUUGUGAUGGUUCUCAAUGGAGAUUCUUUGAGAUGAGAUCGCACCAUAUUUAUUGUAUUUAUGAAACCUGCACCCAUACAGUGUACAGCACCAUUACCACCUACUGGCCUUGCUUGGUAUUGCUGGUUGUAAAUACAAAUACCUGCAUACAUACUGGACUGAUAAGGAACACUGCUAUAACUAUUAUUAUUAGUAGUACUAUAAUGAUUUGAACAAGUUGAGAAAACCCUUCAGUUAACUACUGUACCUAUCAAUUAUCCAGUUGUAGUAAUUAUGGUUCCUCAAUAUACGUUUAACAUAUUACAACGUAGGCUGUGUUCCAGCACUACUUUUGGUGUCCCCCUCAGGAAUUGCUCUUGAGAAAAUGUAAUGUAAUUGUCCCCUCCAUAGUUGAUAUCAGAUUUUCGCCCCAACUCAAAUAUA
Long non-coding RNA from Oncorhynchus tshawytscha (Chinook salmon), 2893 nucleotides. NCBI's taxonomy places the organism in Eukaryota, Metazoa, Chordata, Actinopteri, Salmoniformes, Salmonidae. The record is from Ensembl.